GAUGAACGCUGACAGAAUGCUUAACACAUGCAAGUCUACUUGAACUUCGGUUUGGGUGGCGGACGGGUGAGUAACGCGUAAAGAACUUACCUCACAGUUAGGGACAACAUUUGGAAACGAAUGCUAAUACCUGAUAUUAUGAUUUUAGGGCAUCCUAAGAUUAUGAAAGCUAUAUGCGCUGUGAGAGAGCUUUGCGUCCCAUUAGCUAGUUGGAGAGGUAACGGCUCACCAAGGCGAUGAUGGGUAGCCGGCCUGAGAGGGUGAACGGCCACAAGGGGACUGAGACACGGCCCUUACUCCUACGGGAGGAAGCAGUGGGGAAUAUUGGACAAUGGACCAAAAGUCUGAUACAGCAAUUCUGUGUGCACGAUGACGUUUUUCGGAAUGUAAAGUGCUUUCAGUUGGGAAGAAAAAAAUGACGGUACCAACAGAAGAAGUGACGGCUAAAUACGUG
RNAcentral lists this ribosomal RNA (454 nucleotides) under uncultured bacterium. Its description in RNAcentral is "partial 16S ribosomal RNA". It matches the Rfam family "Bacterial small subunit ribosomal RNA", at positions 28 to 507 of the family's 1533-position model. The record is from RNAcentral.